This 580-nucleotide long non-coding RNA is filed under the name Medicago truncatula (barrel medic). Its description in RNAcentral is "lncRNA gene34009". Lineage: Eukaryota; Viridiplantae; Streptophyta; Magnoliopsida; Fabales; Fabaceae. The record is from RNAcentral.
GCUACAAAAGCUAUGCCUGUCAAUCAAGUAGGUGAUUUUGGAUUAGCUCUAAGGAUUUCGGGUCAUUUUAUCAGGGUCGUUUUUAGAGUUUUACGGGCUUUAGGUAUAAUAUAAAAAAAGGUACUUGCAUAAUACAUCAUAAUUCUUUUUAGCUCAUUGUUGUGGUUUUUUAGCUCUUCAUUUCGUUUUUCUAUUUUACUUUUCACUACCAAAUAAAUGUUUUUUAGACAACAUCUAAAAAUAAAUUAAAUACUCUAUACACCAAAACAAAAUAAAAUAUCGUAGAAGUAGAGAAAAAUAGUACAUGUGAAGUAGAUUGAAAUUUUAACGGCCCAUUUUCAACUAAAAUAGAAUUUGCUUUAUUAUGAAAAUUAUCCCAAUUUCUUGGAUAAUAAAUAUCGUCGAUAUUUUUAAUAUUAGUGAAGCACAUUAUCAAGAAAAAAGGGCCCCAAAAAAAUAUCACCAAUUUCUUCGAUAAUAAAUUUUCGAGCAUAUUAUUAAGAACAACCAAUUUUUUUUAUAGGAGGGUGUAUAUAGAAAUUUUUGUGCUGCAUGGGAUAUAUAUAGCAAAUCUCUCUAA